This 474-nucleotide ribosomal RNA is filed under the name uncultured bacterium. RNAcentral describes it as "bacterial SSU rRNA". It matches the Rfam family "Bacterial small subunit ribosomal RNA", at positions 29 to 496 of the family's 1533-position model. The record is from RNAcentral.
AAUGAACGCUGGCGGCGCGCCUAAUACAUGCAAGUCGAGCGAGAAGACGUAGCAAUACGUUUGUAAAGCGGCGAACGGGUGAGGAAUACAUGGGUAACCUACCCUCGAGUGGGGAAUAACUAGCCGAAAGGUUAGCUAAUACCGCGUACGCUCCUUGGACUUCGGUUCAGGGAGGAAAGCGAUACCGUGGGUAUCGCGCUCUUGGUUGGGCUCAUGUCCUAUCAGCUUGUUGGUGAGGAACGGCUCACCAAGGCUUCGACGGGUAGCUGGUCUGAGAGGACGAUCAGCCACACUGGCACUGCGACACGGGCCAGACUCCUACGGGAGGCAGCAGUAAGGAAUAUUGCGCAAUGGGCGAAAGCCUGACGCAGCGACGCCGCGGUGGGGGAUGAAGGUCUUCGGAUUGUAAACCCCUUUCGGGAGGGAAGAUGGAACGAGCAAUCGUUCGGACGGUACCUCCAGAAGCAGCCACGG